RNAcentral lists this non-coding RNA (30 nucleotides) under Rattus norvegicus (Norway rat). The record is from RNAcentral. Lineage: Eukaryota; Metazoa; Chordata; Mammalia; Rodentia; Muridae.
UGCUCAGCUAUUUCUGAUCCAUGAGGAUGC